RNAcentral lists this unclassified non-coding RNA (20 nucleotides) under Mus musculus (house mouse). Its description in RNAcentral is "oocyte_clustered_small_RNA7644". Lineage: Eukaryota; Metazoa; Chordata; Mammalia; Rodentia; Muridae. The record is from RNAcentral.
CCCAGAGAUGGUCCUACUCA